This 171-nucleotide non-coding RNA is filed under the name Carboxydocella thermautotrophica. The record is from RNAcentral. RNAcentral also lists the same sequence under 1 other name. Lineage: Bacteria; Bacillati; Bacillota; Clostridia; Eubacteriales; Clostridiales Family XVI. Incertae Sedis.
UGCUUCGCGAGGCGGAAUCUGAAGGAAGCCGUAGGCAAACGCACGGCUUGAGGUACACGAACCCAAUUUGAGGCCGUUAUAGUCGGAUGAGUUGCCAACGCACAACAAAAUCCAAAGCCGCCAAAGGCUGUAGCGGUAAACUUGGGCAAGCGCAGGAGGAAAGAUGAUGUU